GCCUGCCAGUGACACUGUUUAACGGCCGCGGUAUCCUGACCGUGCAAAGGUAGCAUAAUCAUUUGUUCUCUAAAUAAGGACUUGUAUGAAUGGCCACACGAGGGUUUUACUGUCUCUUACUUCCAAUCAGUGAAAUUGACCUUCCCGUGAAGAGGCGGGAAUGCAUAAAUAAGACGAGAAGACCCUAUGGAGCUUUAACUAACCAACCCAAAGAAAAUAAAUUUAACCAUUGAGGAACAACAACAAUCUCCAUGAGUUGGUAGUUUCGGUUGGGGUGACCUCGGAGAAUAAAAAAUCCUCCGAACGAUUUUAAAGACUAGACCCACAAGUCAAAUCACUCUAUCGCUCAUUGAUCCAAAAAUUUGAUCAACGGAACAAGUUACCCUAGGGAUAACAGCGCAAUCCUAUUUAAGAGUCCAUAUCGACAAUAGGGUUUACGACCUCGAUGUUGGAUCAGGACAUCCUGAUGGUGCAACCGCU
RNAcentral lists this ribosomal RNA (480 nucleotides) under Bos grunniens (domestic yak). RNAcentral's name for it is "partial 16S ribosomal RNA". It matches the Rfam family "Bacterial large subunit ribosomal RNA", at positions 1857 to 2563 of the family's 2925-position model. Lineage: Eukaryota; Metazoa; Chordata; Mammalia; Artiodactyla; Bovidae. The record is from RNAcentral.